AAGAAACUAACUGUUACAUCCAACAGGUGGACUGCGAACACGCACAGAACAAAGGAGAGCCAAUCGCACCUCUUCAGAUCAAUCUUGCGCAGUCAGAAGGAACUCCAACUGAACCACCUCAGCUUGGACCGCAGGACAGUCCUGCAACUCUUCUAGUUGCACCUCUUCAACUUCCAUCGCCUGAAACCCUCUUCAGUCCUCCAUUGAAGACUAUUCUUGCGCAAGAUGAAAAAACUGAAACUCCUUUCAUCCUUCCAAUGCAAACAGUCCAUGCCCAGGAGGAACAAAUGGUAGUCCAAUGGCCCAAACCAAAGGAGCAUGCAGAUCAAUGCUUGCCCAAAC
RNAcentral lists this long non-coding RNA (342 nucleotides) under Manihot esculenta (cassava). Its description in RNAcentral is "long non-coding RNA (MESC_LNC009484)". The record is from RNAcentral. Lineage: Eukaryota; Viridiplantae; Streptophyta; Magnoliopsida; Malpighiales; Euphorbiaceae.